This is a non-coding RNA of Oncorhynchus mykiss (rainbow trout), 5880 nucleotides long. NCBI's taxonomy places the organism in Eukaryota, Metazoa, Chordata, Actinopteri, Salmoniformes, Salmonidae. The record is from RefSeq and is a predicted model, not a curated record.
GCCCUCAGUUGCUUGUGCUUUUGCUGCGCAGACAAAAAUUCCAGGGAUUGUUGUCGGUUGGCCAACCCAUAGCUUCCUGUCCUCUGCCGGAAUGUUUUAAUUCGCCCAUCCUCUCUUCUUCGAAUGAAUCGCAGAAUAUCUUUCGAAGUAGUGUCAAGCUGUAAGGGGCGUCCAGCGGGCUGCAUACACACACACACAACACUACUAGACCGGUUAUCUGUUCAUCAGAGGCAGGCUCUCAUAGAGCUCCGAGUCGGAGAGUGAAUGAGGUUGAUGCUGUUCUGUUGUAACUGGAAGGACGAACGUAUGGGAGAGGAAGAAGCUGGCAGAAGCUUGCCCGUGUGUGCGGGAUGCAGACAACGGAUCUAUGAUGAACAGUAUCUCCAGGCACUCAACAAUGACUGGCACACUGUAUGCUUCAGAUGCUGUCAGUGCAGUGCCUCCCUGUCCCACUGGUACUAUCAGAAGGAGGGCCGGCUCUUCUGCAAGAAGGAUUACUGGGCCAAGUUCGGAGAGCUGUGCCAUGGAUGCAACGACCCCAUCACAACCGGCCUGAUCAUGGUCGCAGGGGAACAGAAGUACCACCCAGAAUGCUUCACCUGUCUGAACUGCAGAGCCUUCAUCGGAGAUGGAGACACCUACGCACUGGUGGAGAGGUCCAAACUAUACUGUGGCCACUGUUACUACCAGACCAUUGUGACGCCUGUGUCCCUGUCAGACUCACCAUGCUCCAGGAUCCCCCACACGGUGACCCUGGUGUCCAUCCCAGCCUCCACAGACGGGCGGAGAGGGAUCUCAGUCGCCAUCGACCAGCCUCUCAGCCCUCUCAGUCCCAACGGCUACGGCCCUGAACACACGGUCAGGGUGUCACAGGUGGACUCUGAGUUGAUCAGUCCAGAUGUGAAGAACUCCAUACAUGUCGGAGACCGGAUCCUGGAGAUCAACGGAACACCCAUCAGGAACGUUCCUCUCGAUGAGAUUGACCUGCUCAUCCAGGAGACCAGUCGUCUGCUCCAGCUGACCAUAGAGCACGACCCCCACGACCAGGGGGGUUCAGAGGGGGAGACGGUGGACGGACCCCUGAUCACUCCUCUGUCUGGCGGUCCCAGCCCCAUCCUCCCCAUCACCCAACCCCCACACCCAGACAUCAAUAACCUACGCUCACGCAUGAUCACACGGAGCUACAGUAUUGAUAAGUCUCCGUGCUCCAGUAACGCAGCGUCCCCUCUCUCUCAGAGGAAGGACAUUAACCGCUCUGAGUCACUGCGAGUCGUCUCCAACAGUCGAAUGCACCGGAUCUUCCGGCCCUCAGACCUCAUCCAUGGAGAGGUGCUGGGAAAAGGCUGCUUUGGACAGGCCAUCAAGGUGACCCACAGAGAGACAGGGGAGGUGAUGGUGAUGAAGGAGCUGAUUCGUUUCGAUGACGAGACGCAGAGGUCAUUCCUAAAAGAAGUGAAGGUGAUGCGUUGUCUGGAGCACCCCAACGUGCUGAAGUUUAUAGGUGUCCUCUACAAAGACAAGAGACUCAAUUUCAUCGCAGAGUACAUCAAAGGAGGAACCCUGAGGGAGAUCAUUAAGAAAAUGGAUAUCAACUACCCUUGGAAUCAGAGAGUGAGCUUUGCUAAAGACAUCGCUGCAGGGAUGUCAUAUCUGCAUUCCAUGAACAUAAUCCACCGCGACCUGAACUCAUACAACUGUCUUGUCAGAGAGAAUAACAGUGUGGUGGUGGCAGACUUUGGGCUGGCUCGGCUGAUGGUGGAAGACAAGAUCCAGGACAAGAGUCUCCUGCAGAAGAAGCCUGACCGCAGGAAGAGAUACACUGUAGUAGGCAACCCCUACUGGAUGGCCCCGGAGAUGAUCCACGGGAAAAGCUAUGAUGAAAAGGUGGACAUCUUUUCCUUCGGGAUCAUGCUUUGUGAAAUCAUCGGUAGGGUGAAUGCAGACCCAGACUACUUGCCCAGGGCCCAUGACUUUGGGCUGAAUGUGACAGGCUUCUUAGAGCACUUCUGUCCUCCAGACUGCCCCCCUGCCUUCUUCCCUAUGGCUGUCCUCUGCUGUGACCUGGAUGCUGAGAAACGCCCCGCCUUCACCAAGCUGGAGGAGUGGCUGGAGAACCUGAAGAUGCACCUCGAGAUCCGCCUGCCGAUGGUGUCCGAGCUCGACGCGCUACACAAAGCAUUCUGGGGAAACCACACUGCCCCCACCAUGGCUUGCACAGCCUUGCGGUCUGAAAACGGCCUACCCCCGCACCCCGAGACUCCGGAGUAGAAGGGAUCCGGAACAGAGCGGAAUGCUGCUUGUCUCAGCCCAUGAGAGUGGGCAGAGAGAGGGGGUUAUGGUGGUGGCAAUGGAGUAGUUGCAUUGCACUGUCCAGGGAGGGCUGGGGCAGGAGCUCUGUACGUACCUCCUCAUGCCACAGCAGUCACAGUGGUCAUGUAGGCUGACAGUGGGCUGCCGAUGGGCUGUAUAGACUCAGGGGAAACGAGAAUGGGAAAAGCCAGCCUUGCCUAAAGGCACUCACCCAUUCAACUCCAACCAAGAGAGACUCACUCAGACUAACAUUACCACUAUCAUAGCUUCAGUCUGAUGAUUGCUGUACCUUAGCUGAAUGACAGGUUGGUAACUGCUAGCUAGCAGUAUCAGUCAAUCCCAGCUGUGAAAUCAUCCAUCUUAACACUCAUGUAAUCUUUAUCUUAUGGUGUUAAAUCAUAUUCAGACGUCUCUAAAACAGAAAAGAAGAAAGGAUGCUUCAGCCUCAUUGGUAAGGCUCCUUCCUCCAGAGUAUUUGUGCAACAACGUGUUUGAAAAGUGUUCCUCUGUGUGACUUUGGUUUGAUUUUACGAUAUCAAAACCGCUUUUUGAAAUGCUAAAGAAAGGGGCCUUUUAUGUGGAUAAAACACAUAAGUUGAGACGCACACACACAGUCCGGAUGUAGAAUAUAAUCGAGCAAAAGCUUUUGAGCAUAAACAAAAAGCUUUUUAAACAUUGCAUGACUGUAAAUAGCCCAGUCUGUGUCCAGUAAGCCUUGUCUGUUGUCUCCUCCUCUCCCCCUCUACUGAUGACAUGUGUGUCCCAAAUGGCAUCCUAUUCCCUUUAUAGUGCACUGCUUAAGACCAGGUCCCAAAGGGUAUUACCAAAGUAGUGCAUUAUAGGGUGCCAUUUGGGACGUAUUCUUAAAGUGAUAUCCCUGGUAGUGUAGAAUACAUGGUCCAUGAAUGACUGUGUUCCUUCUCUCACUGUGCAGCACUGACUUCACUUUGAGGUAGACUUCUUUCAUACCUUUUGUACAUUUUUCUAUUUCAUUUGAGUUUAUUACUCUCUUUCUCCUUAUUUCAUUCACGUCGAGGUGAAAUCUUGUGUGUCCAAACUUUUGAUUGGUACUGUAUGUAGCCAGUGAUAUUAUAAUAUUGUAAAUGUUUUAAAUAUUGUAAAUGUACAGACAUAUUUUGUAUACUUAUAAUGUAUGCUACAUUGUUAUAUUUUUAUUGGGCUACCUGUUGAAAUUAAGGAGAAGAAGAAAAACAUAAAAAGUUAGUCAGUAGUAGCUGAUAUGGAGCAGAUUCCUUUCAACAGUGAUGAUGACUUCCUGUCUCGGGAUGCCAUGGUGACAGACAGAGAUAAGGGUAUUUUAGGAAGUUAAUACGACAUAAUAGAGCAUCUUAGGGUCCUAGCUCACCCCUAACUACCCUCACUGUAAGUGUAAGCACUCUCACAUGAUGUGUCCCAUUUACUCCCAUCGUCGUCUCUCUGCAUAUCAAACGAUUUUGUCUACAGCAGCCUUUGAUCUGGUCUAGACUCCAGAGAGUGCCCUGACAAUGACCUCGGCUAUAACUACUCCGUAGGUAUCGCCUCAAUUGAAUGUAAUCAUAACAAGAGAAUCAACUCAGUCACAUAAAAAUAAGGUUAUGUAAUUUGGCAUUAUAUACCAAACCACAUUUACGCUUUAUUCCUCUCAAAAGAAAUUGAGGAUGAUUUGUUAGUUGUUAUUAUAGAGCUCUUUAGUCAUCCAUAGCAGGACAGAUGUUGUGGGAAGUGUUGGAGACAGACAGACAGACAGACAGACAUGUCAUAGUGCCUGUCUGACCACAAUCCUCUCUGUCCUGGAGAAAAACCUAGUCACAACCCUAGUCUCCUCUAACAUGGAGCUCCCUAUGGGAGGCCCUCUGUUUACACACAAACUGCUGGCUGUAAAUAUGAUCUAUAUUAUAUGUCUGUCUGUCGUUGUGCAUCGCAUACUACACUCUUGAAAAUAAUCUCUUUUACUGUAUGUCAAUUCUUCUCUUGAACACAUUGUCACUCAUUCUCUCACUCGUGUUCUUUUUCCAUCAAACAUUUUUUCUAUUCCUCUUUGCACUAGAAGAUGAGCUGCAUGGUGUACUUUCUACUGCGGUCACUUCUGCUGUAAAACCAAGCUAUUAUUUUCACUUUAUAACAGAAAUUGUUAUUGAAAGGAAAGAAAGAAAGAGUAAGGAAAGAGUGUACAAAGGAGAAGGAAAAGAUGAAAUAAAGAAAAAACACAGCAUCUCUUUUGAUAUAUAACGACUGAAAUCUUUUUGUAUAGAUUUGAGUACUUUGAUUUGCACUUUCAAUGUUGGAUUACUUGUGAUAAAGAAAUAAAAUGACGUUGGCUGAUAAUAUGAAUGCAAGUCACUGAUGGCGCCUUUCAAUUCAGUUGUAAACAUGUGUCCUGGGAAAUUCUUCCUUCUUCGUAGCAAACCAGAGUUAGGUGGCCAUUCUGAUGACUGCAGGUAUUGAUUAUUAGAUAACUCUAAUGUCAUAGCAUGUCUGUGUCUAAACUGGUUCACAUUUCAGACAUAUGCUCAACUUUAAAAACAUGGAACAUGCAACUUUGAGGGGUACGAAAGAGAUGCCUCGCAGGCCUACCUUUUAAAUGUCCGAACUAUUCAGCCUUGUUAUUAAAAAUGAUUCUAGUUUGCUACAGAGAGGAUGAAAUAACCAUGGUCUGCCUGCUGCCUAUAGACCGAUCCUUUGUGAAUGAAGUUCUGUGUCUUCUUGACUGCUCCACCUUACUGUGAUGUCCAGAGAGGUUUAAAGCAUUGUUAGUCUGUCAUCAAAAGAAAGCCCUUUUUACACUAUUGUGCUGAACCGUAUAGCGCUGGCUAGAUAUUUUCCUUUCCAGAACGAUUCCAGAAACUAGGGUGGAAGCGAAACAAGACCAAAUCCAUUUGGCUUGUCAUGGCUCAGUAAUGUGAAAAGGUUAUACUUACUGGCCUAUUCAAUCUCCACAAUCGCAGUAGUACAAUAAGCCUCCAAUGAGCAUGAAGUCCUCUACCUACCUGUCAAAGUAUAAAAUAAGUACCGAAAAAUAUAUCUUUCUUAUGUACAUCUUCUGCUAAUGUGUUAAUCAAUGGGCAUAAUGGGAAUUUAAUUUAAGUAUGUAUAGGACUUUGCCAUGUUUGUGCGUAUGUAUCACCAUGUCUGUCAAAGCCACAUGGAUGAGAAUGUUUUCCGCACCACUUCUUUGCAAAGAAUCCUUACUGCUGAACAAUAUGCUGUGCCUUUGUUUAAAGCUAGCCUUGCCAACAACUAGACUCAACACGUUUGUUUGAACAGAUUUUUUUGUAUAAAAUUCAAGUGCAAGCCUGAUGAUAAUGAAUGGAUUUAACAUCGUUGCUGACAUUUUGUUUUAUUUUGAUGAGACGUUCCGCUUGUUCUGUAUCAUAUUUAUAUUUUCCAUACUUCUCCAUCAUUUUUGAUAUCUUAGGGAUUGUGGUUUAUUUGAUUUACUUUAUAUAUAUUUUUUAAAUGUACACAAGCUGUGAACUAUUCUGCACUUUAAUCCUGAACGUGAACAUUGAGAACCCUAGGAGACCACUAUUUCAUCACAGCUGGAAUAAAUGUGUUGCUCUUUUAAUGAAA